RNAcentral lists this ribosomal RNA (460 nucleotides) under uncultured bacterium. RNAcentral describes it as "partial 16S ribosomal RNA". It matches the Rfam family "Bacterial small subunit ribosomal RNA", at positions 338 to 795 of the family's 1533-position model. The record is from RNAcentral.
CCUACGGGAGGCAGCAGUGAGGAAUAUUGGUCAAUGGACGAGAGUCUGAACCAGCCAAGUAGCGUGAAGGAUGACUGCCCUAUGGGUUGAAAACUUCUUUUAUAUGGGAAUAAAAUGUUCCACGUGUGGGAUUUUGUAUGUACCAUAUGAAUAAGGAUCGGCUAACUCCGUGCCAGCAGCCGCGGGAAUACGGAGGAUACGAGCGUUAUCCGGAUUUAUUUGGUUUAAAGGGAGCGUAGGUUGAUUGUUAAGUCAGUUGUGAAAGUUUGCGGCUCAAACGUAAAAUUGCAGUUGAUACUGGCAUUCUUGAGUACAGUAGAGGUGGGCGGAAUUCGUGGUGUAGCGGUGAAAUGCUUAGAUAUCACGAAGAACUCCGAUUGCGAAGGCAGCUCACUGGACUGCAACUGACACUGAGGCUCGAAAGUGUGGGUAUCAAACAGGAUUAGAUACCCCAGUAGUC